Molecule: ribosomal RNA, 390 nt
Filed under: uncultured bacterium
Lineage: Bacteria
Description: bacterial SSU rRNA
Rfam family: Bacterial small subunit ribosomal RNA
Source: RNAcentral
GACGAACGCUGGCGGCGUGCUUAACACAUGCAAGUCGAGCGGUAAGGCCCUUUCGGGGGUACGACGAGCGGCGAACGGGUGAGUAACACGUGGGUGACCUGCCUCUAGCUCUGGGAUAAGCCUGGGAAGCUGGGUCCAAUACCGGAUAUGACCUCGCGGUGCAUGUUGCGGGGUGGAAAGCCUUGUGCGGCUAGGGAUGGGCCCGCGGCCUAUCAGCUUGUUGGUGGGGUGANGGCCUACCAAGGCGACGACGGGUAGCCGGCCUGAGAGGGCGACCGGCCACACUGGGACUGAGACACGGCCCAGACUCCUACGGGAGGGCAGCAGUGGGGAAUCUUGCGCAAUGGGCGAAAGCCUGACGCAGCGACGCCGCGUGAGGGAUGACGGCCU